UGAGGAAUUUUGCGCAAUGGGCGAAAGCCUGACGCAGCAACGCCGCGUGGACGAUGAAGGUCUUCGGAUCGUAAAGUCCUGUCGAGUGGGAAGAAAAAUGAAGGGGCUAAUACCUUCUUCAUUCGACUGUACCACCAGAGGAAGCCCCGGCUAACUCCGUGCCAGCAGCCGCGGUAAUACGGAGGGGGCAAGCGUUGUUCGGAAUUAUUGGGCGUAAAGGGCGCGUAGGCGGCCGGAUAAGUCUGACGUGAAAUCCCUCGGCCUAACCGGGGAACUGCGUUUGAAACCGUUCGGCUCGAGUCCGGGAGAGGGUAGUGGAAUUCCCAGUGUAGCGGUGAAAUGCGUAGAUAUUGGGAGGAACACCGGUGGCGAAGGCGGCUACCUGGACCGGCACUGACGCUGAGGCGCGAAAGCUAGGGUAGCAAACAGGAUUAGAUACCCUGGUAGUCCUAGCUGUAAACGAUGGGUGCUUGGUGUAGCGGGUAUCGACCCCUGCUGUGCCGAAGCUAACGCAUUAAGCACCCCGCCUGGGGAGUACGGUCGCAAGGCUG
This 551-nucleotide ribosomal RNA is filed under the name uncultured bacterium. Its description in RNAcentral is "bacterial SSU rRNA". It matches the Rfam family "Bacterial small subunit ribosomal RNA", at positions 355 to 896 of the family's 1533-position model. The record is from RNAcentral.